GUGGCGAACGGGUGAGUAACACGUGAGUAACCUGCCCUUGACUCUGGGAUAAGCCUGGGAAACCGGGUCUAAUACUGGAUACGACCUUCUGGCGCAUGCCAUGUUGGUGGAAAGCUUUUGUGGUUUUGGAUGGACUCGCGGCCUAUCAGCUUGUUGGUGGGGUAAUGGCCUACCAAGGCGACGACGGGUAGCCGGCCUGAGAGGGUGACCGGCCACACUGGGACUGAGACACGGCCCAGACUCCUACGGGAGGCAGCAGUGGGGAAUAUUGCACAAUGGGCGCAAGCCUGAUGCAGCGACGCCGCGUGAGGGAUGAAGGCCUUCGGGUUGUAAACCUCUUUCAGUAGGGAAGAAGCCGCUCUUUUGGGGUGGUGACGGUACCUGCAGAAGAAGCGCCGGCUAACUACGUGCCAGCAGCCGCGGUAAUACGUAGGGCGCAAGCGUUAUCCGGAAUUAUUGGGCGUAAAGAGCUCGUAGGCGGUUUGUCGCGUCUGCCGUGAAAGUCCGGGGCUUAACUCCGGAUCUGCGGUGGGUACGGGCAGACUAGAGUGCAGUAGGGGAGACUGGAAUUCCUGGUGUAGCGGUGAAAU
This 590-nucleotide ribosomal RNA is filed under the name Arthrobacter sp. I14A-01130. Its description in RNAcentral is "bacterial SSU rRNA". It matches the Rfam family "Bacterial small subunit ribosomal RNA", at positions 95 to 687 of the family's 1533-position model. Lineage: Bacteria; Bacillati; Actinomycetota; Actinomycetes; Micrococcales; Micrococcaceae. The record is from RNAcentral.